RNAcentral lists this ribosomal RNA (880 nucleotides) under uncultured bacterium. RNAcentral describes it as "bacterial SSU rRNA". It matches the Rfam family "Bacterial small subunit ribosomal RNA", at positions 8 to 915 of the family's 1533-position model. The record is from RNAcentral.
AGAGUUUGAUCCUGGCUCAGGACGAACGCUGGCGGCGUGCUUCACACAUGCAAGUCGAACGGAACCUUCGGGUUUAGUGGCGAACGGGUGAGUAACACGUGAGCAACCUGUCCCGAUGACUGGGAUAACAGUGGGAAACUGCUGCUAAUACCGGAUGUCCCCAUUUUUCUGCAUGGUUUUUUGGGGAAAUGCUUUUGUGCGUCGGGAGGGGCUCGCGGCCUAUCAGCUUGUUGGUGGGGUGAUGGCCUACCAAGGCGUCGACGGGUAGCUGGUCUGAGAGGACGAUCAGCCACACUGGGAUUGAGAACGGCCCAGACUCCUACGGGGGGCAGCAGUGAGGAAUUUUCGUCAAUGGGGGCAACCCUGAACGAGCAACACCGCGUGCAGGAAGAAGGUCUUCGGAUCGUAAACUGCUUUUCUCUGGGACGAGAACGGACGGUACCAGAGGAAGAAGCCCCGGCUAACUACGUGCCAGCAGCCGCGGUAAUACGUAGGGGGCAAGCGUUGUCCGGAUUUAUUGGGCGUAAAGGGCGCGUAGGCGGUUUCUUAAGUUUGAAGUGACAGUGGGUGGCUUAACUACCCAAGGCCUUUGAAAACUGGGGAACUUGAGGACCAGAGAGGGACAUAGAAUUCCGGGUGGAGUGGUGAAAUGCGUAGAUAUCCGGAGGAAUACCAAAGGCGAAGGCAGUGUUCUGGCUGGCAUCUGACGCUGAGGCGCGAAAGCUAGGGGAGCGAACAGGAUUAGAUACCCUGGUAGUCCUAGCCGUAAACGAUGACCACUAGAUGUGCGGGGUAUCGACCCCCUGCGUGUCGGAGCAAACGUUUUAAGUGGUCCGCCUGGGGAGUACGGCCGCAAGGCUAAAACUCAAAGGAAUUGACG